UGCAAGUCGAACGAGGCGCCGGCUUCGGCCGGAACCCAGUGGCGGACGGGUGAGUAACGCGUAGGAAUCUACCUAGUGGUGGGGAAUAACUCGAGGAAACUCGAGCUAAUACCGCAUACGACCUAAGGGUGAAAGCGGGGGCUCUUCGGACCUCGCGCUAUUAGCAGAGCCUGCGUUGGAUUAGCUUGUUGGUGGGGUAAUGGCCUACCAAGGCGACGAUCCAUAGCUGGUUUGAGGGGAUGAUCAGUCACACUGGAACUGAGACACGGUCCAGACUUCUACGGAAGGCAGCAGUAAAGAAUAUUGCGCAGUGGGCGAAAGCCUGACGCAGCCAUGCCGCGUGUGUGAAGAAGGCCUUUGGGUUGUAAAGCACUUUCAGUAGUGAGGAAAAGCGAACUGUUAAUACCAGUUCGUCAUGACAUUAGCUACAGAAGAAGCACCGGCUAACUCCGUGCCAGCAGCCGCGGUAAUACGGAGGGUGCGAACGUUAAUCGGAAUUACUGGGCGUAAAGCGCGCGUAGGCGGUAUGUUAAGUGGGAUGUGAAAGCCCCGGGCUCAACCUGGGAACUGCAUCUCAAACUGACAAACUAGAGUGUAGUAGAGGGAGGUGGAAUUUCCUGUGGAGCGGUGGAAUGCGUAGAUAUGGGAAGGAACACCAGUGGCGAAGGCGACCUCCUGGACUAACACUGACGCUGAGGUGCGAAAGCGUGGGGAGCAAACAGCGAUUAGAUACCCUGGUAUUCCACGCUGUAAACGAUGAGAACUAGCCGUCGGGCUUUCG
Molecule: ribosomal RNA, 781 nt
Filed under: uncultured bacterium
Lineage: Bacteria
Description: bacterial SSU rRNA
Rfam family: Bacterial small subunit ribosomal RNA
Source: RNAcentral